Molecule: ribosomal RNA, 486 nt
Filed under: uncultured bacterium
Lineage: Bacteria
Description: bacterial SSU rRNA
Rfam family: Bacterial small subunit ribosomal RNA
Source: RNAcentral
GAUCAGUGGCUCAGGACGACGCUGGCGGCGUGCCUAACACAUGCAAGUCGAGCGAGGAGAUCCUUCGGGAUGAUCCUAGCGGCGGACGGGUGAGUAACACGUGGGCAACCUGCCUCAUAGAGAGGAAUAGCCUUCCGAAAGGGAGAUUAAUACCUCAUAACAUUGCAGUUUCGCAUGGAACAGCAAUUAAAGGAGCAAUCCGCUAUGAGAUGGGCCCGCGGCGCAUUAGCUAGUUGGUGAGGUAACGGCUCACCAAGGCGACGAUGCGUAGCCGACCUGAGAGGGUGAUCGGCCACAUUGGGACUGAGACACGGCCCAGACUCCUACGGGAGGCAGCAGUGGGGAAUAUUGCACAAUGGGGGAAACCCUGAUGCCAGCAACGCCGCGUGAGUGAUGACGGCCUUCGGGUUGUAAAGCUCUGUCUUCAGGGACGAUAAUGACGGUACCUGAGGAGGAAGCCACGGCUAACUACGUGCCAGCCGCCGC